GCGAAUAUAAAAGCGGGACGAGUUCUAUGCAACUUGUUGUACGACGGAGGCGGAGCCGGGUCGAGUAGAGCAUGCCCCUACCCGACAGUGGCCACCCCUAUUCUCCUCUCCUCUCUCAAAAUUGAAAGAACAAACAAAAGAUGAAAAGAACCCUAGCGGCCGAGCCCCCCAGCCCCGUAGAACGCAGCCGCCGCACCCACCGCAGCACCCGCACCCACUGCAGCCCCCGCAGAACCCACAGCCACCGCAUCUCCUCUUCUCUGUUCGAGCCCCCUCUCUCUCUGUUCGCCGGUGUCGCGCCGUCUCCUCUAUCGUCGCCGUCACUCUCCUUCCUCUUCGUCGCCGGU
Molecule: long non-coding RNA, 347 nt
Filed under: Arachis ipaensis
Lineage: Eukaryota; Viridiplantae; Streptophyta; Magnoliopsida; Fabales; Fabaceae
Description: long non-coding RNA (AIPA_LNC000878)
Source: RNAcentral